Long non-coding RNA from Oxyura jamaicensis (ruddy duck), 580 nucleotides. RefSeq lists it as uncharacterized. Lineage: Eukaryota; Metazoa; Chordata; Aves; Anseriformes; Anatidae. The transcript has 2 exons. The record is from RefSeq and is a predicted model, not a curated record.
GCCGCAUAUUAAUGUGCGCUCUGUAGACAUCCUCCCCCUUUUUACAUGAGUGGCACAGGAGCGAAGCCCUCGACAGAGCAGCCACCGUGGGAGCAGAAGCCCGCAAGAUUUCCACAUGAAGCCACUAUGGAAAUAUUCAAUUCCUUUCUAAGAAAUUCACAAUUUAAGGUCCUGUCAGCAGCUCUGGUGUCUUUUGUUAGGCGCACUUAAAAUGCCAGAUUAAAUAUUAAUAUGUGGUUAGAGUGUGCUAUUUUGCAAGCCCUGAAACCCUAUUAGUAAAUCAUGAUCUGGUGACUGAUGCAAGAAAUUUCAAGGCACCAAGAGUGCAGAUUGCCCAUCAGUCUGAUGGAUCACUAAUUUUUAGUAAAUCAGGCCCUUGGACUUUUAGCUGUAAGCACAUGUAUGUUUCAUUGUGACGGGAAAAGCAGUCCAACUAACAGUAAUUUUCUGCACUGAAUGUGUACUGUAACAGGCAGAAUUGUUUUGCAUAAUGGCCAGAUUGUUUGAAUACAAGUGUUCAUUUAGAAGGUUGUGCAUGAGAUGCCAUUCUUGAAAAAAAAAAAAAAAAAAAAAAAAAAAA